AACCAACCACCAGAAGCUAGCGAUGAGGGGUCCAGAUCUAUGAUAUGCAAGCGAUACCCAUCUUGUGGCGAGUAAAACCCUAGAGGCCGCAGAUUAUCACUGAGAUCGCAGAUCUUGACACCGGCGUCAUCGAAGAGCUCGAGCCGCAUCGAGUCCACGGAGGUCCCGCAUUUCUUCCAUAGCUUCUCUUUCACGGAAUCAAGGG
Molecule: unclassified non-coding RNA, 205 nt
Filed under: Hevea brasiliensis (rubber tree)
Lineage: Eukaryota; Viridiplantae; Streptophyta; Magnoliopsida; Malpighiales; Euphorbiaceae
Source: RNAcentral